RNAcentral lists this ribosomal RNA (513 nucleotides) under uncultured marine eukaryote. Its description in RNAcentral is "bacterial SSU rRNA". It matches the Rfam family "Eukaryotic small subunit ribosomal RNA", at positions 718 to 1099 of the family's 1831-position model. The record is from RNAcentral.
CCAUUGAUUUGGUUGGUGCGAGGAACCUGAUCGUUUACUUUGAAAAAAUUAGAGUGUUUAAGGCAGGCAUCAUUGUCGUUGAAUAGUUCAGCAUGGAAUAAUAAGAUAGGGCUUCGGCACCACCGGUGUGUUGGUGAUUUUGUUGAUGUUGUUUGUCGCGGGUUGGUACCUUUAAUACUUCUCUUUUGGGAAGUUCCCUGAGUUAUUACUCGUGUACGCAGCUGAUCGCAUCGACUGCCGUGCGGGUUUCUCUAUUUUGUUGGUUUCUAGAGCCGAAGUAAUGAUUGAUAGGGAUAGUUGGGGGUGCUAGUAUUGCAAGGCCAGAGGUGAAAUUCGUGGAUUCUUGCAGGACUAACUUCUGCGAAAGCAUUCACCAAGGAUAUUCCCUUUAAUCAAGAACGAAAGUUGGAGGAUCGAAGACGAUCAGAUACCGUCGUAGUCCCAACCAUAAACGAUGCCAUCUAGGGAUUGGGGAAUGUUGAGUAAGACGUCCUCAGCACCUUAUUUGAGAAA